RNAcentral lists this ribosomal RNA (482 nucleotides) under uncultured bacterium. RNAcentral describes it as "partial 16S ribosomal RNA". It matches the Rfam family "Bacterial small subunit ribosomal RNA", at positions 28 to 523 of the family's 1533-position model. The record is from RNAcentral.
GAUGAACGCUGGCGGCGUGCUUAACACAUGCAAGUCGAACGGUGAAGGAGAGCUUGCUCUCCGGAUCAGUGGCGAACGGGUGAGUAACACGUGAGCAAUCUGCCCCUGACUCUGGGAUAAGCGCUGGAAACGGCGUCUAAUACCGGAUACGAGCUGCGAAGGCAUCUUCAGCAGCUGGAAAGAACUUCGGUCAGGGAUGAGCUCGCGGCCUAUCAGCUAGUUGGUGAGGUAAUGGCUCACCAAGGCGUCGACAGGUAGCCGGCCUGAGAGGGUGACCGGCCACACUGGGACUGAGACACGGCCCAGACUCCUACGGGAGGCAGCAGUGGGGAAUAUUGCACAAUGGGCGCAAGCCUGAUGCAGCAACGCCGCGUGUGGGACGACGGCCUUCGGGUUGUAAACCUCUUUUAGCAGGGAAGAAGCGAAAGUGACGGUACCUGCAGAAAAAGCACCGGCUAACUACGUGCCAGCAGCCGCCGUAA